Cornus florida is the source of this 475-nucleotide long non-coding RNA. RefSeq lists it as uncharacterized. The record is from RefSeq and is a predicted model, not a curated record. Lineage: Eukaryota; Viridiplantae; Streptophyta; Magnoliopsida; Cornales; Cornaceae. The transcript has 2 exons.
GAGAAGGUGCACCUGCCAGCCGAAAAAGAAGAUAAAGAAAAGGUAAUUAUGAUUGCGGGACCCACGGCUAGGAUUUGUUUGGCUAAAAAUCCAUUUGGGUUUGGCUGUUCACAUGGCCUUGCUUUUUAUUUGUGGCUGAUGUAGUUUCUCGGUGAUAUGUUUGGAAAGUAAAGAUGAGAUAAAGAAAAGAGAAAAAUUAGAGAGAGGAAAGAUACAGAGUGAGGAAGAGUGCACACAUACAAAAGGCCGAGAGUUUGAGAAAGAGAGAGAGGAGCUGAGUUUUCAGAGAGUGGUCCGAGAGGUUGCAGAGGAGGCCGGGAGCUUGAGGCUUAAAUGAUCUAGUGAGAAAAAUUCUUAUUCAGGGAUAUGGAAGGGAAGUGGUGGACGACGUUCCUCCACAGGGUCCGAUGGGUUAGUGGACUGUUUUGACAUAUUUUGUAGCUAUGAUCUCAUUUUAUUAUUAUUAUUAUUCUUA